This is a long non-coding RNA of Pomacea canaliculata, 2460 nucleotides long. RefSeq lists it as uncharacterized. The transcript has 3 exons. Lineage: Eukaryota; Metazoa; Mollusca; Gastropoda; Architaenioglossa; Ampullariidae. The record is from RefSeq and is a predicted model, not a curated record.
GGCUGUUAAUGGAUGAGGUUUUCAAAUGGCCAAGGCCUGGGGUGGGGUGCUGGACUAGCUCGAUCAGGGAUAUAUAUGUAUGUCCGUAAAAGUGUGUGGGGAUGGAGGAAAGGUUUGCAUAAAAGUUAGUCAUAUAUUUUAGCGGGAUUAUGAAACCUAUUUCUUACAAAGGCGUGUUUUUAGGCCAGAGUUCAAAACUUUGAAGAUAGUAACAGUUCAAAGAGAAAGGGGCAGAACAAUUUUUUAAGUGGAGCCAGAAAAAGAUUGUGUGGCACAAAAUAAUGAGGUCAAAACACAAGCAGAGCAAACAGACCAAUUCAGAUGGCAAGAAGACAGCAGCUAAAGGGGGCUCCACACGGGUUUGGCAAACACUGUUUUCUUGAACCAUCAGUAUCCCGAACGCAAGGAAAAUGGGUUCAUGGAAACAGUUUACCCGCUUGCGAUGCCACACGGGCAGACUUGUUUGCGAAAAAGUUAGAAAGUGCGCGACAGUAGCGUCCCUUGAUUUCUGCAAUGGCGGACUCAGCAGACGACGAGAUGUUGAUGCUUGCAGCAGCACUUCGUUUUAAAGAAAAAGAAGACAAAGCGAAGGUGGUGGGUAUGACCAUAGCUUAAAAGAAGAGCCCAGCAAGGCGCCUACAAUGCUCUAAUAAGGAAGCUGUGUGCUGAGGAUUCAGAUUCUUACAGCAACUUUGUGAGAAUGGAUCCGCAUUUGCUACUCUCACGUAGAGAGUCGUACAUCGCAAAGCAGAUAACAAAUAGGCGCAAGUGCAUCUCACCUGGCGAAAAGCUUAUUGUGAGACACUGAGAUUUCUAGCCACAGGAGACAGUUACCAGUCCUUGUGUUUUAUCUAUCGUCGGCAGAUCGAGAUGUACCAUUGGGGAAAUCAUUCCAGACACAUAUAGAGCAAUUGCUAUUGCUCUGAAAGAUCAGUAUUUGAAGGUUCCCAAUACAAAGCAAGAAUGGGAAGCCAUUGCAAGAGCCUUUAAAAGAAAAAUGGAAUUUUCCACACUGUAUUGGGGUUAUAGAUGGAAAAAUAUUGCUAUAAAGGCCCCACCAAGAAGUGGUUCUAUGUACUUUAAUUAUAAAGACUUUCAUUCAGUUGUUUUUCUGGCCGUGGUAGAUUCAUUUUAUCGGUUUAUUGGUAUGAUGUAGGGGAAAACAGAAGAAACAAUACUGCCGGAAUAGUUGCCUGCACUACACUUUCCAAUACACUUGAAAGUAAGACCCUACAAGUUCCUGCACCAAGGGAACUUGCUCAUUUACAUAUUAAGAUGCCUUUUGUACUUGUGGGAGAUGAGGCAUUCCCAUUGAAGGAACACCUUAUGAAGCCAUAUCCCCAACAAGGACAAGGUGAUCAUGAAAAAAUUUUCAAUUAUCGCUUAAGUAGAGUGCAGUGUGUCUCUGAUGAUGCCUUAGGCAUCUUGGUCAACCGAUUCAGAGUGCUGUCAAAUAUAUUAAAUCUCUCUCCUGAUGUGGCUGCUUGUGUAACAGAAAGCUGUGUAGCGAUAGCUCUGUUGAAAGAAUUUUUUCAAAGGUAAUCAUUCUACUCUUUCUGCAAGAGAAGUGAGAGACAAAUUUCGUGACUACUUCUGGGCUCAUGGUGAGGCUCACUGGCAGUGAGAUCAAAUAUAAAACUAUUUGUUGCAAUGUAUCUGCCUAAGAGUCCAUGGUCUUUAAGAAUAAGAUUUUUUCCUAAAAUAAACUUGCUGAGCUGGUCAGAAACAUUUCAUUUUUUUAAUUUAUUGUCUGUUUAUAAUAGUUACAAUCGACAUACUAUUUGUAGUGUUUUUAUAUAUCUGAUUUUGAUAGUUUUGAGCAAUUAUUUAUAAUUGUGGCAAUUGUAGUGACAUACAGCCAUCUCCCACAGUCAUUUAAGGUCUGUAUAGUCAUGAAAUUAAUAAUGUUUUAUCCAAAUAAAGUUUUAUUUUUUUAAUAAAUGUAUUUUGCAAAUUACAGUGUAUGCUCAGAGAUCUGUUUGUGAUAUACAAUUUAUUAUCUGGUCUGUGAAUAUUUCAUGACAAAUAUAAUUGAUUGUAGACAAGUUGAGUGGAAGGAGGGUGGAAUGCUCAGCAUUGUUGAACUUGACGACAAAAUUUUUUAUCAAACUGUUCGCAGUAGGAUAUUUUGAGCCACCUUAAACAACCUUUGUGACAAGAUGUAAUAAAUUUAUUAUAUGUUGCUGUGUGUAUAUAUAGAGUAUAAAUAAACCAUUCUGUUUACCAAGUUUUAAGAUGUUGGUGCCACUAGAGACAUUACUGGCAACAGGAAUUUCAACUGCUGAAAAAAGGCCAUGAACUGUUGUAGGCAUCACAUGCUCCAGCCCCACUUACUAUAGUUUUAUUUAUUUUAUGCAUUUCCCUUGAAAAUGUGUUUCGGAGGCUGGCUACCUUUGCUUGGAUAUGGGCAACUGCAACAUAGUAGUAGAAUCUUAUGAAAUAAAUAACUAGCUGCCCAAA